Molecule: ribosomal RNA, 253 nt
Filed under: uncultured bacterium
Lineage: Bacteria
Description: partial 16S ribosomal RNA
Rfam family: Bacterial small subunit ribosomal RNA
Source: RNAcentral
UACGAAGGGUGCAAGCGUUGUUCGGAAUUACUGGGCGUAAAGCGCGCGUAGGCGGCUUGAUAAGUUGGAAGUGAAAUCCCGAGGCUUAACUUCGGAAUUGCUUUCAAAACUAUUAAGCUAGAGUAUGGCAGGGGACAGUGGAAUUCCUAGUGUAGAGGUGAAAUUCGUAGAUAUUAGGAGGAACACCGGUGGCGAAAGCGACUGUCUGGACCAUUACUGACGCUGAGGCGCGAAAGCGUGGGGAGCAAACAGG